This 253-nucleotide ribosomal RNA is filed under the name uncultured bacterium. RNAcentral describes it as "partial 16S ribosomal RNA". It matches the Rfam family "Bacterial small subunit ribosomal RNA", at positions 524 to 776 of the family's 1533-position model. The record is from RNAcentral.
UACGGGGGGGGCAAGCGUUGUUCGGAAUUACUGGGCGUAAAGGGCGCGUAGGCGGCCUGCUAAGUCGGACGUGAAAUCCCUCGGCUCAACCGGGGAACUGCGUCCGAUACUGGCGGGCUCGAAUCCGGGAGAGGGAUGUGGAAUUCCAGGUGUAGCGGUGAAAUGCGUAGAUAUCUGGAGGAACACCGGUGGCGAAGGCGGCAUCCUGGACCGGUAUUGACGCUGAUGCGCGAAAGCCAGGGGAGCAAACGGG